AUGGGAGGAGGAAGAGGUCCUUCUCUCUCUAUAAGGACUUUAUCCCGCAUGGCCUCCCCCUCCCCAAUUUUUAAACACUUAGAAUCCACUGAGGGUAUGAUUUAUGAGAGCCCUUCCCACAAUGAUGCAUGGGAACUUCCUGUAAGUGUCUGUCAUACUUUGUUAGAGAAAUGUCUGAAAAAUCGAGUGGUGAGAAGAUGGUCAGAGAUUGUCUUCUGCACUCAGGAAUAUACCUGGAGAAAACACUUGAAACCACGUGGGAUAAAGCUGUCAUAGAAUCAUAGAAUCCUAGAAUAGUAUAGUUGGAAGAGACCUGAGGUCUCUUCCAACUCUACUAUUCUAUGAUUCUAUGAUUCUAUAGGGCUUGGCUUCCUGACUGUAUUUCAUUUUGGCUGCAUUCCUCUGGACAUAUUCCAAUUUGGGCAUUUGUUGGAGCUGAGUAGGCUUCUUCUGCUGUUGAGAAGUGGUCCAGGUUGCAGUGAUGAUAAAAAAAAGUGUUGUAGCAUAGCAUUUCUUGCUGGCAGGCAUGGCUUGGUGGGCAAAGUAUAGUGUCACGCUUACUUCAAACGACCCGCAUGAACGCAAACCAAAGGUAGCUGCUGUCAAACAGAGUCUUUAUUGAAGAACACACGACUUGGGAAAGUCGAGAAUGACAUAAUGUUUACACACAAUCUUCUUUAUUACCUUCGUUACAACGUCACACCACACGUAAAUAUCAUCACCUAAGCCCCACCCCAAGUAUCAUUAUCAUCACUACAAAACAAACUACUCAUUAAAAUUGUUUUGAUUCUCUCUCCAGAAUUUCCCAUGCUUUGCUGCCAGGUGUCCGUAGGAGCUAUAGAGGAGUGCGAAUUGUUAUGGCUCCGAUUCAAGAGCUUGCAAACUCAGCUCUUGGAAUCGGUCCCAUGACAUGGUGCUU
This 919-nucleotide long non-coding RNA is filed under the name Anolis carolinensis (green anole). RNAcentral's name for it is "lncRNA (ENSACAG00000036132.1)". Lineage: Eukaryota; Metazoa; Chordata; Lepidosauria; Squamata; Anolidae. The record is from RNAcentral.